UGAAAAUUAAUAUCCAAUUAAAUUUAAUUUCGACUUAAACCUAGAGUUCAAUCUCCUUAUUUUUAA
Molecule: transfer RNA, 66 nt
Filed under: Cheumatopsyche brevilineata
Lineage: Eukaryota; Metazoa; Arthropoda; Insecta; Trichoptera; Hydropsychidae
Description: tRNA-Arg
Source: RNAcentral